RNAcentral lists this long non-coding RNA (237 nucleotides) under Homo sapiens (human). Its description in RNAcentral is "HSALNT0103563". Lineage: Eukaryota; Metazoa; Chordata; Mammalia; Primates; Hominidae. The record is from RNAcentral.
CUCCUAUCCAGAUAAAGUUUGUCAAAUGUCAACAAGUAAAUACGAGGCUUCAAAAGAUGUACAUCAGACUCUAAAAACAACUCUCAAAGAGAAUUUCCAAAAUAUGACAGCCUCAUGAAGAUACUCAUAGCCAUAGGAUACCCUCUGUCAAUACUUCAGAAGGAAAUCCUGGGUAGGACACAUAAUCACUGAACUGUUAGUUUCUUUUCAAAUAUCCCACUGCUUUAUAAUAAUAAC